AGUGAACGCUGGCGGUAGGCCUAACACAUGCAAGUCGAACGGCAGCACAGGAGAGCUUGCUCUCUGGGUGGCGAGUGGCGGACGGGUGAGGAAUACAUCGGAAUCUACUCUGUCGUGGGGGAUAACGUAGGGAAACUUACGCUAAUACCGCAUACGACCUACGGGUGAAAGCAGGGGACCUUCGGGCCUUGCGCGAUUGAAUGAGCCGAUGUCGGGUUAGCUAGUUGGCGGGGUAAAGGCCCACCAAGGCGACGAUCCGUAGCUGGUCUGAGAGGAUGAUCAGCCACGCUGGAACGGAGACACGGUCCAGACUCCUACGGGAGGCAGCAGUGGGGAAUAUUGGACAAUGGGCGCAAGCCUGAUCCAGCCAUACCGCGUGGGUGAAGAAGGCCUUCGGGUUGUAAAGCCCUUUUGUUGGGAAAGAAAUCCAGCUGGCUAAUACCCGGUUGGGAUGACGGUACCCAAAGAAUAAGCACCGGCUAACUUCGUGCCAGCCGCCGCCGUAA
RNAcentral lists this ribosomal RNA (506 nucleotides) under uncultured bacterium. Its description in RNAcentral is "partial 16S ribosomal RNA". It matches the Rfam family "Bacterial small subunit ribosomal RNA", at positions 29 to 523 of the family's 1533-position model. The record is from RNAcentral.